This 528-nucleotide ribosomal RNA is filed under the name uncultured Pichia. RNAcentral describes it as "eukaryotic LSU rRNA". It matches the Rfam family "Eukaryotic large subunit ribosomal RNA", at positions 100 to 654 of the family's 3401-position model. The record is from RNAcentral. Lineage: Eukaryota; Fungi; Ascomycota; Saccharomycetes; Saccharomycetales; Saccharomycetaceae.
GGCAAGAGCUCAGAUUUGAAAUCGUGUUUCGGCACGAGUUGUAGAGUGUAGGCGGGAGUCUCUGUGGAGCGCGGUGUCCAAGUCCCUUGGAACAGGGUGCCUGAGAGGGUGAGAGCCCCGUAGGGUGCUGCGCGAAGCUUUUGAGGCCCUGCUGACGAGUCGAGUUGUUUGGGAAUGCAGCUCCAAGCGGGUGGUAAAUUCCAUCUAAGGCUAAAUAUUGGCGAGAGACCGAUAGCGAACAAGUACUGUGAAGGAAAGAUGAAAAGCACUUUGAAAAGAGAGUGAAACAGCACGUGAAAUUGUUGAAAGGGAAGGGUAUUGGGCUCGACAUGGGGGGUGCGCACCGCUGUCUCUUGUAGGCGGCGCUCUGGGCGCCCUCUGGGCCAGCAUCGGUUCCUGCUGCGGGAGAAGGGGCUCCGGAAAGUGGCUCUUCGGAGUGUUAUAGCCGGGGCCAGAUGCCGCGUGUGGGGACCGAGGACUGCGGCUUCUGUCUCGGAUGCUGGCAUAACGGCGCAAUACCGCCCGUCU